UACGUAGGGUGCAAGCGUUGUCCGGAAUUAUUGGGCGUAAAGGGCGCGUAGGCGGCUGUACAAGUCAAAGGUGAAAUCCCUCGGCUCAACUGAGGAACUGCCUUUGAAACUGUACGGCUUGAGGCCGGGAGGGGGUAGCGGAAUUCCCAGUGUAGCGGUGAAAUGCGUAGAUAUUCGCAAGAACACCAGUGGCGAAGGCGGCUCACUGGCCCGGUACUGACGCUGAGGUGCGAAAGCGUGGGGAGCAAACAGG
Molecule: ribosomal RNA, 253 nt
Filed under: uncultured bacterium
Lineage: Bacteria
Description: partial 16S ribosomal RNA
Rfam family: Bacterial small subunit ribosomal RNA
Source: RNAcentral